Molecule: long non-coding RNA, 1163 nt
Filed under: Salvia miltiorrhiza (redroot sage)
Lineage: Eukaryota; Viridiplantae; Streptophyta; Magnoliopsida; Lamiales; Lamiaceae
Description: long non-coding RNA (SMIL_LNC007096)
Source: RNAcentral
UAGAGACGACGCAAACGGCCGCCGAUUAUCCGAUCACUUCUCUCUUCCCCUGCCUUCUGUUCUUGGUUCACGGCGGUUGUCCACAGGAGAGCGCAUGUCACUACGAUCUGUGGCGUUGUUCUGCGCAGCGGCGAUGGGCGUGGUGGCGGUGGCAUUCACCACCAUGAUGCGGGAGAGGUGGGGGCGGUCGUACGGACAGCGCCGAGAUCCUGAAGUUGACGACGCGUGAGCAAGGUUAGGGGCGAGGGUGAACCUGGGGUCUAUCUGGUUAGUGUGCAUUCGUACAAAGUGUUUAUUACGACAUUCUUAUUUGAUUAACAUCUUAUUUAUUUUUCUGCCACAAGUUCGAAAUAUUUCUUUAGUUGUUCAAUUUAUUAUACAUAUCUGUUCAAAAUAUUUUUUGCGAAAUUAUUAUUUGGUAAACAUCCUAUUGCGAUAUCUCCCUAUAGGCAGAUGAAUGGCAUGUUCUGCGCGGCGGCGAUGGGCGUGGUGGCGGUGGCAUUCACCACCACGAUGGAGGCGGUCGUUUACGAACAGCCCGAGAUCCUAAGUUGACAACGCGUGAGCAGGGUUGGGGGCGAGGGUGAACCUGGGGUCUAUCUGGUUAGUGUGCAUUCGUACAAAGUGUUUAUUACGACACUGUUAUUUGAUUAACAUCUUAUUUGUUUUUCUGCCACAAGUUCGAAAUAUUUCUUUAGUUGUUCAAUUUAUUAUACAUAUCUGUUCAAAAUAUUUUUUGCGAAAUUAUUAUUUGGUAAACAUCCUAUUUGAGAUAUCUCCCUGUGAGGCAGAUGAAUGGCCGAUGCUACUGGCAGAGCACCCAAGCGGUGCAGAGCGCGGAUAAUACGUCCAGGUGAGGGGCGUGGUAGAUGAGGAUCGAGGCCAACCGAAAAAAUGCAUAAUUCUCAAUCCGCCAUGAAAUUCGAGAAUGAGGAAUUAUGGCGAGAGUAAGACAGGUGGAAACAUGCUUUUCCUUUCUGUUUUUUCUAUUUUAUUGUUCAGUUAAUUUGUAAACAACUUUUCUGUAGUUGUUAGAGAUGAGUGAAGAGAUUUUUUCAUAAUUGUGAUUUUGUUCAUUUAGAAUUGGGUUAUGUUCAUUUAUUAGAAUUGUGUUCAGUAAAUCUAAAUAAGGUUUUCGUUUCUGCUAUGAAAUCUGAUUUUUU